UAAAAUAAGAGCAUUUCUUAAGAUAUAAAAUAAGAAUCAUUUUCAGCCCUUAGAUCAUCAAGAUCUACGGUUGAUUCGUAAUCCUGUUGGAUGGAUUUAUGGUCCUGAGUUCGAAUCUCAAAGGUAGCAAAAAAUUAUUUUUCACAAUUCAUACCUUUAUACAGCGAAUUCAUACGUGUUCUACAUAAAAUUCAUACAUUAAAAAUUA
This 208-nucleotide long non-coding RNA is filed under the name Salvia miltiorrhiza (redroot sage). RNAcentral describes it as "long non-coding RNA (SMIL_LNC000279)". The record is from RNAcentral. Lineage: Eukaryota; Viridiplantae; Streptophyta; Magnoliopsida; Lamiales; Lamiaceae.